RNAcentral lists this ribosomal RNA (1204 nucleotides) under uncultured euryarchaeote. RNAcentral's name for it is "bacterial SSU rRNA". It matches the Rfam family "Archaeal small subunit ribosomal RNA", at positions 76 to 1290 of the family's 1478-position model. The record is from RNAcentral. Lineage: Archaea; Methanobacteriati; Methanobacteriota.
UGUCGGCAGAUCGCUCAGUAACACGUCGUUAAUCUGUCCUUAGGUCAAGGAUAAGCUUGGGAAACUGAGUCUAACACUUGAUAUGAAAUUAUUACUGGAAUGUAUUUUUUCUGAAAUUCGAGCCUAAGGGUGAGACGGCGGUGGAUUAGGUAGUUGGUGAGGCAAUGGCUCACCAAGCCAAAGAUCUAUAGGGGCCUUGAGAGAGGGAGCCCCGAGAAGGACACUGAGAUAUUGGUCCUGGCCCUACGGGGUGCAGCAGGCGCGGAACCUUUACAAUGCACGAAAGUGUGAUAAGGGGAUUCAAAGUGCUUAUGCUUUGCAUAGGCUUUUGCCAAAAUUAAGGCUUCUGGCGAAUAAGUAGUGGGAAAGACUGGUGCCAGCCGCCGCGGUAACACCAGCGCUACAAGUUGCAAUCAUAUUUAUUGGGCCUAAAGCGUUCGUAGCCGGUUUAAUAAGUCAUUUGCGAAAUUAAUGGGCUUAACUCAUUAGCGAGCAGAUGAUCCCGUUAAACUUGAGACCGGGAGGUGCUAGAUGUAUUUAAGGGGGAGCGGUAAAAUGCUAUAAUCCUUUGAAGACAACCUGUGGCGAAGGCGUCUAGCAAGAACGGUUCUGACGGUGAGGGACGAAAGCCAGGGGAGUGAACCGGAUUAGAUACCCGAGUAAUCCUGGCAGUAAACGCUGCGAACUAGGUGUUGCAUAUUCCAUGAGAAUAUGCAGUGUCGAAGCGAAGGUGAUAAGUUCGCCGCCUGGGAAGUACGGUCGCAAGGCUGAAACUUAAAGGAAUUGGCGGGGGAGCACUACAAGGGGUGCGACGUGCGGUUUAAUCUAACUCAACACAGAAAAUUUCACCAGGGGCGACGGCAGAAUGAAGGUCUUUUUGAAUGGAAUACCUGACGAGCCGAGAGGUAGUGCAUGGCCGUCGUCAGCUCGUACCGUAAGGUGUCCUGUUAAGUCAGGCAACGAGCGAGACCUAUAUUUACAAUUGCUAACUGCUUUUAGGACAGAGUACUUUGUAAAAACUGCCUUCGAAAGAAGGAGGAAGGUGUAGGCAACGAUAGGUCUGUAUGCUCCGAAUCCCCUGGGCUACACGUGCGUAACAAUGAUAAAGACAAUGGGAUGCAACUCCGAAAGGAGAAGCUAAACCUCUAAACUCUAUCCUAGUUCAGAUUGAGGAUUGUAAUUCAUCCUCGUGACGUUGGAAUCC